This 493-nucleotide ribosomal RNA is filed under the name uncultured Rhodospirillales bacterium. RNAcentral describes it as "bacterial SSU rRNA". It matches the Rfam family "Bacterial small subunit ribosomal RNA", at positions 117 to 645 of the family's 1533-position model. Lineage: Bacteria; Pseudomonadati; Pseudomonadota; Alphaproteobacteria; Rhodospirillales. The record is from RNAcentral.
AUGGGAACCUGCCUUCUGGUACGGGAUAACCGCGGGAAACUGCGGCUAAUACCGUAUGUCCCCUGAGGGGGAAAGAUUUAUCGCCAGAAGAGGGGCCCGCGUCCGAUUAGCUAGUUGGUGAGGUAACGGCUCACCAAGGCUUCGAUCGGUAGCUGGUCUGAGAGGAUGAUCAGCCACACUGGGACUGAGACACGGCCCAGACUCCUACGGGAGGCAGCAGUGGGGAAUAUUGGACAAUGGGCGAAAGCCUGAUCCAGCAAUGCCGCGUGAGUGAGGAAGGCCUUAGGGUUGUAAAGCUCUUUCGGCAGGGACGAUGAUGACGGUACCCGCAGAAGAAGCCCCGGCUAACUUCGUGCCAGCAGCCGCGGUAAUACGAAGGGGGCGAGCGUUGUUCGGAUUUACUGGGCGUAAAGGGCGCGCAGGCGGUCAUUUUUGUCGAGUGUGAAAGCCCCGGGCUUAACCUGGGAACUGCGCUCGAAACGGGAUGACUAGA